GGCAGAUAAGGAUCUUGUUGAUGUUGGUAGUUGAACCUGUAUUUGGUUUAUAGAUUAAGCCUGAAAUGUAAAUAUGGAGUUACCUCAUGGUUGCAUUUGGUUCUUCUAAAAGGUGAGCAUCUAAUCGCAUUUUAUGUUUCUGUUGAACAACAUGACCUGUCUUUUAGAUGAUAAUAUUAUUCUCUUUGGAGCAUUGCAUGAUCAUCAACUUUGAUAGGCAACUUGUAGAAUACCCAUCUAAUAAAUCUCUUCAUGUAAAUGAGUGGGGAUUUUGAUGGUUUUCUUCCCGUUAAUUUUUUUUUUUUUU
This 307-nucleotide unclassified non-coding RNA is filed under the name Hevea brasiliensis (rubber tree). The record is from RNAcentral. Lineage: Eukaryota; Viridiplantae; Streptophyta; Magnoliopsida; Malpighiales; Euphorbiaceae.